RNAcentral lists this non-coding RNA (27 nucleotides) under Homo sapiens (human). Lineage: Eukaryota; Metazoa; Chordata; Mammalia; Primates; Hominidae. The record is from RNAcentral.
ACCGGCUGGUGACCUGAAGUAAAGGAU